Small RNA from Endozoicomonas montiporae, 70 nucleotides. It matches the Rfam family "int-alpA RNA". From Rfam's summary of the family: Acidobacteria (1 example), Planctomycetes (1 example), Proteobacteria. Environment (Lake Washington) Lineage: Bacteria; Pseudomonadati; Pseudomonadota; Gammaproteobacteria; Oceanospirillales; Endozoicomonadaceae. The record is from Rfam.
GGUCAGACUAGGGAGAGCUACCCGAAAAGGCGGAUUACCUACCCGCUCUGUCUGGCUACUUAAUGUAGGU